UCACCGUUUCCACCCGAAUCAUUCCGUCCCAAGUCCCACCGUCCCCUCGGCUUAUCCCCCCUCCUCCCGGGCCUCCCUCCGCCAAGGCCGCCGGAGCCCGUCGCCGGAGGCAGCUGCAGGGAAGGACGCCGUCGCCGGACACAUGCGGGGUUGGGCUUCCCAGAUAGCUUGUCUCUUGCUGCACUAAGCUCUUCCAAUUUUUAAAAAUGGCAGCUCCCAAGCCCAUUGCUCGGCUUAUUUCCCAUGUCAUUCUUGAUUUAGAUGGUACCCUCUUAAACACAGACUGUGUUGUAAGUCAAGUGCUGAAACCAUUUCUAGU
This is a non-coding RNA of Oryza sativa Japonica Group (Japanese rice), 319 nucleotides long. The record is from RefSeq and is a predicted model, not a curated record. NCBI's taxonomy places the organism in Eukaryota, Viridiplantae, Streptophyta, Magnoliopsida, Poales, Poaceae.